Molecule: transfer RNA, 70 nt
Filed under: Dipodomys ordii (Ord's kangaroo rat)
Lineage: Eukaryota; Metazoa; Chordata; Mammalia; Rodentia; Heteromyidae
Rfam family: tRNA
About the family: Transfer RNA (tRNA) molecules are approximately 80 nucleotides in length. Their secondary structure includes four short double-helical elements and three loops (D, anti-codon, and T loops).
Source: Rfam by way of RNAcentral
GGGAAUGUGGCUCAGUGGUAGAGUGCUUACCUAGUAUGUAGGAAGCCCUGGGUUCGAUUCCUCAGUACCA